AGUAACACGUGGGUAACCUGCCUGUAAGACUGGGAUAACUCCGGGAAACCGGGGCUAAUACCGGAUGCUUGUUUGAACCGCAUGGUUCAAACAUAAAAGGUGGCUUCGGCUACCACUUACAGAUGGACCCGCGGCGCAUUAGCUAGUUGGUGAGGUAAUGGCUCACCAAGGCAACGAUGCGUAGCCGACCUGAGAGGGUGAUCGGCCACACUGGGACUGAGACACGGCCCAGACUCCUACGGGAGGCAGCAGUAGGGAAUCUUCCGCAAUGGACGAAAGUCUGACGGAGCAACGCCGCGUGAGUGAUGAAGGUUUUCGGAUCGUAAAGCUCUGUUGUUAGGGAAGAACAAGUACCGUUCGAAUAGGGCGGUACCUUGACGGUACCUAACCAGAAAGCCACGGCUAACUACGUGCCAGCAGCCGCGGUAAUACGUAGGUGGCAAGCGUUGUCCGGGAAUUAUUGGGCGUAAAGGGCUCGCAGGCGGUUUCUUAAGUCUGAUGUGAAAGCCCCCGGCUCAACCGGGGAGGGUCAUUGGAAACUGGGGAACUUGAGUGCAGAAGAGGAGAGUGGAAUUCCACGUGUAGCGGUGAAAUGCGUAGAGAUGUGGAGGAACACCAGUGGCGAAGGCGACUCUCUGGUCUGUAACUGACGCUGAGGAGCGAAAGCGUGGGGAGCGAACAGGAUUAGAUACCCUGGUAGUCCACGCCGUAAACGAUGAGUGCUAAGUGUUAGGGGGUUUCCGCCCCUUAGUGCUGCAGCUAACGCAUUAAGCACUCCGCCUGGGGAGUACGGUCGCAAGACUGAAACUCAAAGGAAUUGACGGGGGCCCGCACAAGCGGUGGAGCAUGUGGUUUAAUUCGAAGCAACGCGAAGAACCUUACCAGGUCUUGACAUCCUCUGACAAUCCUAGAGAUAGGACGUCCCCUUCGGGGGCAGAGUGACAGGUGGUGCAUGGUUGUCGUCAGCUCGUGUCGUGAGAUGUUGGGUUAAGUCCCGCAACGAGCGCAACCCUUGAUCUUAGUUGCCAGCAUUCAGUUGGGCACUCUAAGGUGACUGCCGGUGACAAACCGGAGGAAGGUGGGGAUGACGUCAAAUCAUCAUGCCCCUUAUGACCUGGGCUACACACGUGCUACAAUGGACAGAACAAAGGGCAGCGAAACCGCGAGGUUAAGCCAAUCCCA
This 1182-nucleotide ribosomal RNA is filed under the name Bacillus tequilensis. Its description in RNAcentral is "bacterial SSU rRNA". It matches the Rfam family "Bacterial small subunit ribosomal RNA", at positions 109 to 1276 of the family's 1533-position model. Lineage: Bacteria; Bacillati; Bacillota; Bacilli; Caryophanales; Bacillaceae. The record is from RNAcentral.